AUGACCGCCGAACAGCUUGCCUCCCAGCUCCAAGCCUUGGAGGUCGACGAUGCCACCACCUUUCUAUGCAAAGUGUUCAAGAUGCUUCCACCCUCGAUCAUGGGCGCCCCACCGACACCGCCAGGGCCGCAGACGGAGGAGGUGACCUGCUUGGUGCCCACGCCCACGCCACCGCGCAGGGCUAGCGCCAGGAUCACCAAGACCGCGGCGGGCAUGACCCAGGAGCAGAGGGCGCAGGCCUGCCUUGCCCAACAGCUGCAUUUCAUCGACGAGCUCGGGGAGUUCAGCGCUCAUGUCCGGGCACGCUACAUCGACCGUUUCAAGCAACCCCUCGGCUAG
This 339-nucleotide ribosomal RNA is filed under the name Triticum aestivum (bread wheat). Its description in RNAcentral is "partial small subunit ribosomal RNA". Lineage: Eukaryota; Viridiplantae; Streptophyta; Magnoliopsida; Poales; Poaceae. The record is from RNAcentral.